UUUCAGUUUCACUCAAAACCGCACCGAACCAAAUCGUGCCCACCUCUAAUGAAAACCACUACGGUUUGCAAAUUUAUAUGGAAACGACAUAGGUAUCCAAAUUAAAAAGAAUUUGACAACAACAAAUUCAAAAAUCGAUGGACAAAUUCAAAUGACCUACACACAAAUUAUUCUUCUACCUUUUCAAUGGAAACAUAAUCUUCUACCUCUUCCGUAGAAGCGUCAUCUUCCACCUGUUCAAUGAAAAAGUCAUUUUCUAAGUCCCUUGAUAUUUUUUUACUUUCUCUGAUGAAAGGAGAUUAAAAUAAGAGUUAGGGUUUUAAGGUAGACAAAUCGUCUCCCACACUCAACCUCUUUUUUUUUUUUUUAAAUUAAGCAAAAUAAGAUAAUAAAUGUCCUUAUCAGUCAUUUUUUACUUCUCUCACACCUUUUUAGUUUUCGGCCGUCAAAUCGGAUGAAUUGAAGAAAAUCAACGGACAUAAAUUAACAAGGAGUGUGUGAAAAGUAAAAAGGAAUGUGCGGAUAGCACACCCUAUGUAUAUGUAGCUAGAGUGUGAAAGUUGCUACGCAUUGCAAAUACUAUUCAUAUACUAAAAAUCAUUAAAAGUUUGUAAGAAUAAUAUCGAAAGAUAGAUUUUUCUACAUGUUGUGGAACACGAAAGGAAAAAUUUUCUUAGAAUGCCUGCAUGAAAUAAAUCUCAAUUGUGUAAUAGAUGUUUAGUAACACAGAAGACAUACAAACAAUCAAUUUGAACCUAUUUUGGAGAAAAUCUUAGGGUCUAUUUGGUAUUCUACUUGAAUUCAACUUUUUAAACUCAAAAAUAAUUUUCAAGUUUUAAGCCUUACAAACUUGUUUGGUAUAACUGUUUUAAAAAACUGAACUAAAAAAUACAGUAUAUUCUCUAAAAACAUAAAAAAUGAGUUUUUCGAGUUUUUAAACUUAAACUCAUUCCUUUCAUUUCUCUCCCUCUUCCUCUCUCACUCCAAAUCUAUCUCUCUCUCUCCUUUUUUUUUUAUCUUUUUCAUCUCUCCUCCAAUCCGCUUUUUUCAUUCUCUCAGUUCUUUCUCUCACUCGUCUUCCUCUCUAUCUCGUCUGAUCCUCUCUCUUCUUUCUCUUUCCUUCAAUCAUCUCUUACUUCAUUUCCUCCUCUCUCAUCUUUCUCCCUCUCCUAGACCCCCUCUUUUUAGAUCUCUUUGUUUAGUUUAAGUUGUAAGAUUUAAAAAUUUUAAAUCGCAAGCCAAUCAAGUUUUUUAGUCUUAAAGAAAAUUGUUUUCAAAAAAUGUUUUGAGAAAUGAUAAAAAAUUUCAAAUAAGAUACCAAACAGGCACUUGAAUUCAACUUUUUAAACUCAAAAACAAUUUUCAAGUUAAGCCUUAAAAAUUCGUUUAGUAGGACUGUUUUCAAAAACUGAACUCAAGACAAACUAAAAAAUAUAGUCUAUUCUCUAAAAACAUAAAAAAAUGAGUUUUUAAACUUAACCUUACUUUUUUCUUUUCUCUCCCUUCUCUCCUCUCACUCCAAAUCUAUCUAUCUAUCUCUCUCUCUCUCUCUCUCUCUCUCUCUCUCUCUCUCUCUCUCUCUCUCUCUCUCUCUCUCCUUUUUUUU
Molecule: long non-coding RNA, 1606 nt
Filed under: Malus domestica (apple)
Lineage: Eukaryota; Viridiplantae; Streptophyta; Magnoliopsida; Rosales; Rosaceae
Description: long non-coding RNA (MDOM_LNC010156)
Source: RNAcentral